RNAcentral lists this small nuclear RNA (76 nucleotides) under Homo sapiens (human). RNAcentral's name for it is "partial ncRNA". Lineage: Eukaryota; Metazoa; Chordata; Mammalia; Primates; Hominidae. The record is from RNAcentral.
AAAUCACUUGAACCUAGGAGGCGGAGGUUGCGGUGAGCCAAGAUCAUGCCAUUGCACUCCAGCCUGGGUAACAAGA